AACGUAGGAGACUAGCGUUAUCCGGAUUUACUGGGCGUAAAGCGUGUGCAGGCGGUUCGGCAAGUUGGAUGUGAAAUCUCCCGGCUCAACUGGGAGGGGUCGUUCAAUACUACCGAACUUGAGGGCAUCAGAGGAAGGUGGAAUUCCGGGUGUAGGUGGUGAAAUGCGUAGAUAUCCGGAGGAACACCAGUGGCGAAGGGCGGCCUUCGUGGGAUGCUCCUGACGCUCAGACACGAAAGCUAGGGGAGCGAACGGG
This 256-nucleotide ribosomal RNA is filed under the name uncultured bacterium. RNAcentral's name for it is "partial 16S ribosomal RNA". It matches the Rfam family "Bacterial small subunit ribosomal RNA", at positions 524 to 776 of the family's 1533-position model. The record is from RNAcentral.